This 391-nucleotide long non-coding RNA is filed under the name Chrysemys picta bellii (western painted turtle). Its description in RNAcentral is "lncRNA (ENSCPBG00000008385.1)". Lineage: Eukaryota; Metazoa; Chordata; Testudines; Emydidae. The record is from RNAcentral.
ACCAUUUAUGGUCAAAACAAGACUUAUUAAGGAAUCUAUUAACAGAACAAAUUGAAGGAUCUGCCAUUGACGCACAUUUCUGCAGUCCAUUGAAGGUUAACCAACCAGUCCAGGUUUUGGAGUUGGCUACUUGAUAUAGGUAGGACUAUGGUUGUGAGGCAGCACCCUUUGCUAGAUGUGGAUCCCACCAGGAUGAUCUGUGCUUUCUUCAGUCAACUUCAGGCUGGGCAUGCACACUUUCUAGAAAGAGGUGAGGGUCACGGAAGCUUCGCUUGGGUGUCGUGGCAGCCUGUAGUUUAAAGCAAUACAGAUGAGCACAUCAAACUAAUUCUUCCUGUUCUACGCUGUUUCCCUGUCAUAUUGGAUCCACUUCAACCUUAUGACAUUUCAU